GGGGCCGACCUGGCUUCGACGUGGGUGCGGAGUCGGUUCAGGGCAUGCCGAGCACCAGUUCGCUCGUAAAACCACUGGAAACAAAGUAACUGCGAACGACGAACGUUUCGCCCUCGCCGCUUAAACACCGGUGAGCUUCGCAACGGUUGGCCGAUGGGCCGGGCCGGAUGCCCCGAGCGAUCGGGGCAAACGGCUGCGAAGUCAUUCACAUCGGCUGGUGCUCCGCUGCGUCAUUCAGCGGGGGACGAGAACCAAGUGACUGGUGGAACCGGCAGCGUGCUGCUGCGCGGCCGGCGCCACGAGACCCAAAUCAGACAGCUAAGCAUGUAGAACUGGCCGGUGAUGGCUUGCGGACGGGGGUUCGAUUCCCCCCGGCUCCACCA
This 383-nucleotide transfer-messenger RNA is filed under the name Burkholderiaceae bacterium. It matches the Rfam family "transfer-messenger RNA". Rfam says of the family: Bacterial tmRNA, also known as 10Sa RNA or SsrA, is named for its dual tRNA and mRNA-like properties. Its role is to liberate the mRNA from a stalled ribosome. To accomplish this part of the tmRNA is used as a reading frame that ends in a translation stop signal. The record is from RNAcentral. Lineage: Bacteria; Pseudomonadati; Pseudomonadota; Betaproteobacteria; Burkholderiales; Burkholderiaceae.